UAUGAAUUAUGCCAUUCAAUUUUCCAAAGUACAAAAUAUUAUUGGGAAAUUAUUUACCCCAUUCAUUAACAAUGUAUUUUAAAACAUUGAUUCGAAAAUGCUUAUCUACAUUAUGGGCUCAAGUAUAUGAACAUAUGACUACUAUAGAUACUAACUUAAGUGAAUCUCUAAUAAGAGUUAAUGAAAUCUCAUUCCCCAAUCCCCACAAUGUAAAUAUGUUGUUGAUUGAUGUUAAAAUUUAUAUAUAAUAACGUGUAUAACUGUUGGUAUCUUUCCACAUACAUUCUUUGGCGAUCGAUCUUCUCUUAGCCUUCUACUUUCAGAAUUGACUGCUUACUAUGUUGGUCAGUUGUUGGCAAUCGAUGAACACAGAAUUGCAGUUCAAGGCUUUGUGUGGAGUAUCAAUUCGUUUGACCAGUGGAGAGUUGAUCUAGGAACAGUUUUAUCUUCAGCUCUUCAUCUUCCUCUGAAUCUAAAAGUAGCUGCUGAAGCUGAGAAUUUACUAACAAAGUCUAUGUCCACUCUAGACACUUUUUGGCUUAAGGAAUGCCAAGUUCUCUUGCUCGGAAACAACAAACCAAACAAUUAUAGCUGAUAUGAGCCUUUUGUGAGAAUUUUAUCAUUGAGCUUAUCAAAGGAUAAAUUAGAUUUA
Molecule: non-coding RNA, 652 nt
Organism: Camelina sativa (false flax)
Lineage: Eukaryota; Viridiplantae; Streptophyta; Magnoliopsida; Brassicales; Brassicaceae
Source: RefSeq, a predicted model, not a curated record